This 534-nucleotide ribosomal RNA is filed under the name Triticum aestivum (bread wheat). Its description in RNAcentral is "partial small subunit ribosomal RNA". Lineage: Eukaryota; Viridiplantae; Streptophyta; Magnoliopsida; Poales; Poaceae. The record is from RNAcentral.
AUGGACACGGGCGCAGAUCCUCCGCGCUACCGCCGGCUCAGGAAGGCCUCCGACCUCCGCACCGCCGCCGCCCACCCGCCCCCGAAACGGAUGCGUCCGAGCGAGGAACACACCAGUUUCUGUGAGGACAAGAUCAGCAGCUUACCCGAUGAGAUGUUAAUCAUGAUCGUCGAUAAGCUAGAUGCACGGACGGCGAUAACCACCAGUAUCCUUUCAAAGAGAUGGCGGGAUCUUCCUGCACACUCGCACACAUGUUAUGACCUUGGCGUUGAUGACAUCCUCCCUCCACGCUACCACAGACUGAAGCAAAUGGUGGUGGAGGCUAAGGCAGGGUAUGUGGCAGAGAAGAACGCACUGAACUUGGCCGGCUGUCGGGGAUAUACCCCGCAGUAUGACCCGGCUGGAGAUAUAACCCGGCUAGGAUUGGGUGUUUCAUUAAUGACCCGGCAGACUAUAAGCCGGCAGGAACAGUUAAGUAGGUUAAGCUCGCGGGAACAAGUUGAGCAUUGUAACCCGGCAGACACAGUCAUGUAA